Molecule: transfer RNA, 73 nt
Filed under: Cichlasoma dimerus
Lineage: Eukaryota; Metazoa; Chordata; Actinopteri; Cichliformes; Cichlidae
Description: tRNA-Asp
Rfam family: tRNA
About the family: Transfer RNA (tRNA) molecules are approximately 80 nucleotides in length. Their secondary structure includes four short double-helical elements and three loops (D, anti-codon, and T loops).
Source: RNAcentral
AAGACUCUAGUAAAACAGAAAAUUACACUGCCUUGUCAAGGCAGGAUUGUGGGUUAAAGCCCCACGUGUCUUG